This 622-nucleotide long non-coding RNA is filed under the name Danio rerio (zebrafish). RNAcentral describes it as "lncRNA (ENSDARG00000117716.1)". Lineage: Eukaryota; Metazoa; Chordata; Actinopteri; Cypriniformes; Danionidae. The record is from RNAcentral.
AUGCUGAAGUUGCCUUUUGCACUCUGGAAUUUAAGGGCCGUGUUGCAGACACAAAUUGUUUGUCUGUGCUGGAGACCAGAGGGGAAGCUGUCUUUAAAAGGAUGGGGCUCUUAUACCAUAUGUGAAGUUACCUAUUCAGGUGCUUUUUGGGCACCUGUUUGGAGAUGGAAGACAGACGAAGUCAAAGAAGCAGAGAAGACACAUCAACCAGCAAGUGUGUAAAAUUAUCAGGAAAAUGAUUGACUUUGAAUAGACGACUGCCUUAUUUAGCAAGAAGUUUUGUCUCUCUCUCUCUCAUGUGUAUAUAUAUAUAUAUAUAAUGAGAGACAGAGAGAGCGCACUCUGAAGCACUGCUUUUUAUAUGUAUGCUACAUAUGAUGUCAGAUUUUUUUAUGAAUAUGUUCUUAUAGUAUUUUUUGAGGCUUCACCUGCACCUUUUGAAAGUUUUCUGAAAUGUUUACACAGAUGUCAUUAAGCUGUUAAAUAAAUCUGUAAAAUGUAUGUGUGUUUGUUUUUAUUUUGAUUUUAGAGUCUUCUCAGAUCACCCAAAAAUGAAGAUUCGGUCGUCAUUUACGCAUCCUCAGGUUGUUUGGACACAAAGAGGAUUAUUUGAUAUUUUUAU